GACCUCGGAUCAGGUAGGGAUACCCGCUGAACUUAAGCAUAUCAAUAAGCGGAGGAAAAGAAACCAACAGGGAUUGCCUUAGUAACGGCGAGUGAAGCGGCAACAGCUCAAAUUUGAAAGCUGGCUCCUUUGGGGUCCGCGUUGUAAUUUGUAGAGGAUGAUUCGGCAAGGGCUCCCGCCUAAGUCUCCUGGAACGGAGCGUCAUAGAGGGUGAGAAUCCCGUAUGCGGUGGGCUGCCUAAGCCAUGUGAAUCUCCUUCGACGAGUCGAGUUGUUUGGGAAUGCAGCUCUAAAUGGGAGGUAAAUUUCUUCUAAAGCUAAAUACCGGCCAGAGACCGAUAGCGCACAAGUAGAGUGAUCGAAAGAUGAAAAGCACUUUGGAAAGAGAGUUAAAAAGUACGUGAAAUUGUUGAAAGGGAAGCGCUUGCAGCCAGACUUGUCCGCAGUUGCUCAGCCGGUCUCCUGACCGGUGUACUCUUCUGCGGCCAGGCCAGCAUCAGUUCGGGCGGUCGGAUAAAGACCUCGGGAAUGUAGCUCCUCUCGGGGAGUGUUAUANCCCGGGGGUGGAAUGCGGCCAGCCUGGACUGAGGAUCUCG
This 595-nucleotide ribosomal RNA is filed under the name uncultured Botryosphaeria. RNAcentral's name for it is "eukaryotic LSU rRNA". It matches the Rfam family "Eukaryotic large subunit ribosomal RNA", at positions 1 to 601 of the family's 3401-position model. Lineage: Eukaryota; Fungi; Ascomycota; Dothideomycetes; Botryosphaeriales; Botryosphaeriaceae. The record is from RNAcentral.